Long non-coding RNA from Hyaena hyaena (striped hyena), 1039 nucleotides. RefSeq lists it as uncharacterized. The transcript is spliced from 3 exons. NCBI's taxonomy places the organism in Eukaryota, Metazoa, Chordata, Mammalia, Carnivora, Hyaenidae. The record is from RefSeq and is a predicted model, not a curated record.
CAACAGAGUGAUUUUAAUGUGUGUUUACAAAUUGUGACACUUGUUCUAUCCAGAGAUAGAGCUGAAUCUCCCUCCCAGCGAAUGUGAGCUGCUCUUAUUGAAUAGCAUAAGGCCUACAAUGCAUAGGAUAUGACAUAAGUGACAGUAUAUGCCUUAAAAGACUACAUCAUAAAAGGCACUGAAGCUGCCCGCUUGUUCUUUCUUGGAUGUCUUGCGCUGGGAGAAGCCAGAGUUGCCAUGUCACGAGGAACUCAAGCAGCCGCAAGGAAAGGCCCAUGUGAUGAGAACGGAGACAGCCUGCCAGCAGCCAUGUGAAUGAGGCCUAUUGGAAGUAGAUCCUCCAGCCCCAGUUAAACUUUCAGAUGUUUGUAGCCUGGGAGAUGUUCCCUGAAACCCCAUGAGAGAGCCUGAGCAGCACCUGCCAUCUGAGCCACUCCCAGAUGACCCACAGAGACUGAGAUAAUAAUGUUCACUGUUUUAGUAGGGUUUCCAUUGCUCAAGCACGUUGCCUAAAGGCAGCCUCUGCCGUGGACUUGAGGAAGCAGAAACUCUGGAGCAGGCCCAGGUGGAGUCUGGGGAACAGUAGGGUAAGAAGCCCAUUGUCCAUGAGGAACCCAUCUGGCUGACAACUGUCCUGAUUUACUUGGGAUGGAGGGUAUUUCCAAGAUCUGAGCCCUUCAGUUUACUGGAUGCCUUUGACUUUGCAGAUGAUUUGGAAGCAUUAGUUGCAAAGGUAUACAUUUACCUCUCUGGUUACACAAAAGAAUAGAAAUGCACAAGAUGAGUUUGUGCUGUUCCAAGGAAUGACUUUCGUACAAUCUGCAGAUUCUAGGUUCCGUCAGAAAGUCAAUACUCCCUCUCCACCUCCACUGCUGCCAAUAAUUAAAGCUGCUGAAGAAGAGUGAGUUUUUAAUGCAGUGUCCCCACCUUUCUUACUUCCUUUACUUUGAACUCUCAGUUCCUGUCUUUUUUGGCCUUUUAUCUUCCCUGAAUACACCCUGGCUUGGGUAGAAUUGUCAAAUCAUCUACCCUGUCAGCA